This 414-nucleotide ribosomal RNA is filed under the name uncultured bacterium. RNAcentral's name for it is "bacterial SSU rRNA". It matches the Rfam family "Bacterial small subunit ribosomal RNA", at positions 29 to 434 of the family's 1533-position model. The record is from RNAcentral.
AACGAACGCUGGCGGCGCGCCUAAUACAUGCAAGUCGAGCGAGAAGACGUAGCAAUACGUUUGUAAAGCGGCGAACGGGUGAGGAAUACAUGGGUAACCUACCCUCGAGUGGGGAAUAACUAGCCGAAAGGUUAGCUAAUACCGCGUACGCUCCUUGGACUUCGGUUCAGGGAGGAAAGCGAUACCGUGGGUAUCGCGCUCUUGGAUGGGCUCAUGUCCUAUCAGCUUGUUGGGAGGUAACGGCUCACCAAGGCUUCGACGGGUAGCUGGUCUGAGAGGACGAUCAGCCACACUGGCACUGCGACACGGGCCAGACUCCUACGGGAGGCAGCAGUAAGGAAUAUUGCGCAAUGGGCGAAAGCCUGACGCAGCGACGCCGCGUGGGGGAUGAAGGUCUUCGGAUUGUAAACCCCC